CUCAGCUCCUCCCAGAAAGCUGCUUCCCUCCUGUGAUGCUUAUCCCAAGGUUAUCCCACACACACAACUGCAGAAGGAGCCAUGGGGAGUGUCCUAGGUCCAGACAAGUAAUUCUUGGUGCCUAAGAGAGAUGCAAACUUGGAUCUGCAGCCCCAGCUGUAAAAUCUUACAACUCUGAAAGCCUCUCCAGAGGGCUGAAGUAAAGGUUGUUGGAAAUUACUCCAUCUUGGACCUUCUGGCAUUUCCCUUUCAGUGGGUAUGGGCACAGAAACUCCUGAAAACUCAGUGGAGUGCAAGUCACACUGAUAUUUGGCUGGUACCUCCCUCAGACAGACAUGGCAGAGCAAACCUGGCCUUGGCCCUGAAGCACUGAGACCAGGAGAUCAUUGCUCAUUUUCUGGGCUUCAUCCUGCCUCCCCCAACAGACUGCAAUCUCUGCAGCAAGGAGAGAAACACCACCUCCCAAAGGAUGGCAUGGAGCACCAAGGAGAGCCAAAUCAGUUCUACAACAGCCAGGACAGGUGCCUGUACCAGACAGAAAGGAUUUAGGAACACGUGCACUCCUUUCCACCACUGCCUUCUCAGGCAGACAGAUCCCUUUGCAGAAAGGCCUUUAGCAUUUCAGCAUUAGAGCAGGUUAGAAUAAUUAGGAUCCUUUCCACCCCACUGUCAGGUAGGGAAGGACUAAUUAGCUUAAUUUCAUGUUUGGGAAGCCCAGAAAGCAGAGUACAUCCUUCUUGUGUUAAUUCAGCUCUUUAGUCCAAUGGUUACUUACAGCUGCCUAAUGUGGGAUUCACAUUCUGAGAACCUGAGAGAAGCAGAGAAGAGAAUGAUCAGAACAAUUCUUAUCUCAUUUGCUGCUCCUGUUGUUUUGUGAACACGUGGAAUGUGUUGGAAGGUUAUUUACCUGAAGGAAUUUGGUAACUGGAUUCUGGUGUGAGUGUUUUGGUUUUUUGACCAGUCUCUGCAAGCUGUGUCCUAACAGUUGGUCAGGAGACAGUCAGGAGAUUUUGUUGAGUGCUUGUGCAGUUUCAGUUUAGAUGUAGUGUAAUAUAGUAUAGUAUAAUAUAGUAUA
Passer montanus (Eurasian tree sparrow) is the source of this 1075-nucleotide long non-coding RNA. RefSeq lists it as uncharacterized. The record is from RefSeq and is a predicted model, not a curated record. NCBI's taxonomy places the organism in Eukaryota, Metazoa, Chordata, Aves, Passeriformes, Passeridae. The transcript is spliced from 3 exons.